RNAcentral lists this long non-coding RNA (3417 nucleotides) under Homo sapiens (human). Its description in RNAcentral is "HSALNT0353116". Lineage: Eukaryota; Metazoa; Chordata; Mammalia; Primates; Hominidae. The record is from RNAcentral.
GAGUUGGGGGAGAGGACCAGAACCACCUGCUGGAGAAGGGGAGCUACGGGGGCCGGGCAGGGUCCAAACGCCUCACGUAGGCGGCGGCGCCACGGUCUUCGGGGUCACAGGGAAGAGAAGGGCUCUCCUCAAGCGGGUGGAAGGAGGGAGGCCUCCCGAGGGAGUGAGACUCUAGGCCACUCCCCCGCAGCAAGGCAGGAUCACCUGCGACGCGGAGAGCGGUUAGAGGGCCCUGGAGUGGAAAAGGGCAGUGGGACCUGGUAGCUUGGGUUCCCUGCAACUUGGGGUUCGACCUCCAGGCAAUGAAGUAGGGAUGGUCCUGCAAGUCAAGAUUCCAGUAGCAAGAGUGCAUCAGAUCUCUGUAAGGAAAAUAACUAACAUUGCUCAGUUCCCUGUAGAGUUGCAGGGCGCUUUAACGUUAUCUCCCUUGGUUCUCCAUCAGGUCGUAGUGGACUAAUUUUACAGGCGAAGUUAAGUGACUUACCCAAAACCUCACAGCUAAUAAACGGCAGAGCCGGCACCCAGCUGUACUGGCUUCCAAUUCUGUUAGCUUACCAGCGCAUCACAUUAUCUCCAUAAAUCCCCAUGAUUCAACUAAUAUUAGACGCCCCACAGGUAAGAUGCUUCAGAGUUAGAGGGGAGUUGAAGAUACCUUUGCCUUCAAAGAAGUAAGGAAUAAAACAAAGAUAAAACAGACAAUAAAAGACAAACCAUGAUAGGUGCCACGUGAAAAGUGGCAGAGUACUGCCGGGAAUCAAAGAACCGUGUAUAUCUGUCUUGGGGAUAAGGAAAGAAAGGCAGCAUGAAGGAGUAGGCAUUUGGGAUUGACCUUGAAGGAGACAGGGAGAGUUUUACAGCAAGCAGGGAUAGCAUGAGAAUAUAUAUGAAGGCGAAUCAGUGAAAGUUGUGUUGGGGAAAGAGCAAAGACUCCAGGGUAUGUUGAGAGGUAGAAAAGACAAAGGAGUAUGGGGCCUAAGAUACCAAAUGGAUGAAUUUAUAUUUAAUUCAGUAUUUUGAGUUUUUAUGGUUCAGAAGUUUGGGGGAAGAAAAGGAAGGUUUUUUUUUUUCUUUGUGCUAGUGAUUUAUCUGUGAGGGGAAGCAGAAAUCAGAGGUGGAAAAACGGACAGAUCUACUGUAGGCCAGGUAAAAAUGAUGAGUCUGACCUAAAGGGACAGCUAGGGGAAUUUAAAAGAGCAUAGUUGAGAGAUGAUGUGCAUGCAGUAUCUAUAGAAUUUGGCAACUGAUUGAUUAAUUGUGGGUAGGAAGAGAGAAAUCAAAGAAAGUGGAGGUUUUGAGUUUGUAGAUAAUUGCAAGAGAGAAAAGAGACAAUUACAAAGGAGAGGGAGCUACUUCUUGAGAGAUCAGUUUAGAUUUGGACAUUUUAAGAAUUCAAAGGGUUGUCAAGACAGCCAGAGAGACAUGGACACUAAUAAGUUAGAAAUAAAGGUUUUGUAAUAUGGGAAAGAGGACUGAACUAGAAAAUAGACUCAUAAAUAAUCAGCCUAGGAGUGAUAUUGCUGUGAGAUAAAAGAAGAAAACAAAGGUCAGAAUCUUGGAAAACACCCUCUUUAGAGUCUCGCUACUCAAAACGUGGUCAGUGGCCCAGCAGCACUGACAUGAGGAUGUUAGUUAGAAACUCAGAAUCUCAGGCUCCACCCCAGACCUGCUGAACCAGCAUCUUCAACUUAACAAGAACCCGAAGAGAUUUGUGUCACAUCAAAAAGUUUGAGAAGCUCUGAUCUAGGUGAGCCAAGCCAGCAAAGAAAGGGGAUGGAGCAGAAAAUGGGAGGAGAAUAGGGUAACGCAGAAUCAUCAAGACAAGGUAAAUUGGAGUUUCACAAAAACAGGGCUGGAAGGAGUGUUGCUCAACAAUAUCCAAAACCACAGAGGUUGAAAAGCACAAGGAAAGAAGGUAUGUUUGCACUUUGUGAUUAGGUAGUAGGGUCUUUGAGACCACAUUGUUCUUAUUGAAAGCCUGGGAAGAAAGAUCCCCUUUCUGGUCAAGUUUAGUCUAGGGAUCCAUCCCAUCUUCCCCAGUUCCCACGUGUAUGGGACAUGUCGAGAUAAGUAGAUAGAUUGGACAGUGGGAGAAAGUAGUUCUCUUCCAGUUGCUUCUAUUUUCUCAGCAAAGUGAGGAGCAAGAUCAUUUUGGCAGACUGCUAAUUGUCCAUCACAAUUUAGUCUCCCUUUCUCCCUGAAAACACAGACUGCUUUUCUCAGCCUCUCUUUCAGUUGCAUAUGGUCAAGUAUUAAGUUAUAGAACGUGAGCAGAUGUUAUGUCUGCCACUGUCAGGCCAAGGCGUUUACUUUGAGAGUACUUGUGCCUCUUUCAUGCAUUUUCCUUUCUGCCAGCUGGACCCUGGACACGGUGACUCUGAUUCAAUUAUGCAGAUGACCACAAACCUCUGGGGUUGGCAGAGCCACAAGAAAGAAGGUGCCUGGAUGAAGGAGAGCUACCCACUGACCUGGACACCCAAUUAUUCAUCUGUCUUAGAGCUAUUGGAAUCCUGGAUCAUUGUGGGAAAUGAAAGGAACUGGUUUUUAGCAAGGAGACCAAGAAACUCUACUCCCUAGGGGCUAGCAAUGAGAGAAAGGAAGCCUUAAGUCUUUGAGCACAGGGUGACAGUUUGGGUCCUAUGUGAGAUGAUCAAAUCCACAGCAACAGAGGAAAGGACAAAAGGAAAAGAUACUUCGAUGGAAUCAGCAGCCAUUGAUCCAAUGCCAACUCCAAGACUGGAACGUCGCAAUGAUAGUUCCAAGGCGGAAAUUUGACGUAAUUCUUUUCGACACAGUUUUACAGGCAUCUUGCAUGUGAAUAACUCACAACUUUAAUUCAUGGAACAAAUUGAGAAAUAGUCUUUUGGGGGUUUGGUACUCCCUGGAAACAUAAGAGUGCUUUGGGCACCUCUGGUGCCUUUCCAUGCCUGCCUUCUCUGCUGUUCUUGCUACUAGUGAAUUCUAAAUCAUGGCCAAGUGAUGCCAGCACUGGAUAAUAUUGGCUCUGCCCCAUAUCUCGAGGGAAAACUCUAGGACUUGGCAUUAUAUGUGUGGGAAUCUGGCCUUGGUUGGCACUCCCAGCAUGAUAGCGGGGUUCUCCUGUCUGAAUGUACUCUGGGGUGUGCGCCACAAUUUCUGUCAUCGAAAUGGAGAUGAGAGAAUAUGCCCUUGGUGGGGACACCCCACUGGAAUUAGAGUGAAGAGAUCAAAGCUAGAGGUUCUUAAAUCAAAGAAUAUCUAAUAGCAAAGACAAAAACUUGCUUAAGGGAAAUGCAUACAAGUACUAGACCUAAUAUGAUGAAAAAUGCCAACUUCAAUAUAUUGAUGCAUGCUUAGUACACUUUCAGUCCUGCAAAGACAAAGUUUUUUGUUGUUUUUUUUUUGAGACGGAGUCUCGCUCUGUCGCCCAGGUUGGAGUGC